This 463-nucleotide ribosomal RNA is filed under the name uncultured bacterium. Its description in RNAcentral is "partial 16S ribosomal RNA". It matches the Rfam family "Bacterial small subunit ribosomal RNA", at positions 27 to 507 of the family's 1533-position model. The record is from RNAcentral.
GGAUGAACGCUGACAGAAUGCUUAACACAUGCAAGUCAUUGGCGAAGCUGCGCUUGCGCAGUCUAGCCAAGGCGGACGGGUGAGUAACGCGUAAGGAACUUGCCCUGCAGACAGGGAUAACAGACGGAAACGACUGAUAACACCUGGUAUUGUCAGGCUGGCGCAUGCCGGCCUGAUGAAAGGAGACGCUGCAGGAGAGCCUUGCGUCCUAUUAGCUAGUUGGUGGGGUAACGGCCCACCAAGGCGAUGAUAGGUAGCCGGCCUGAGAGGGUGAACGGCCACAAGGGGACUGAGAUACGGCCCUUACUCCUACGGGAGGCAGCAGUGGGGAAUAUUGGACAAUGGGGGCAACCCUGAUCCAGCAAUUCUGUGUGCACGAAGAAGGUUUUCGGAUUGUAAAGUGCUUUCAGCAGGGAAGAAGAAAGUGACGGUACCUGCAGAAGAAGCGACGGCUAAAUACGUG